Molecule: long non-coding RNA, 465 nt
Organism: Mastomys coucha (southern multimammate mouse)
Lineage: Eukaryota; Metazoa; Chordata; Mammalia; Rodentia; Muridae
Exons: 2
Source: RefSeq, a predicted model, not a curated record
GAAGAGAAGAGAAGAGAAGAGAAGAGAAGAGAAGAGAAGAGAAGAGAGAGAAGAGAAGAGAAAAGUCCAAGUGAAAAAUAUCAUGAUGAGUUUUCUCCAGGCUGUUUAUGUGGUGGUUUAUAUUUAUUGAUGUAUGUAUGUUGAACCACUCCUGCAUCUGUGGGAUGAAGCCAACUUGACUGUGUUACAGCCUAUAAAGUUUUUAUCAAGGUCAAACCUAAAUUCAGAAACCAUCUGUAACUCAAUCCUCCCCUUGGCGUUUGCAUCUCCCUAUUGAUACUGCAGGCCAAUCUGACAGCCAGAAGGAAAGUGCCUCUAAGUGUAUUUUGGAGAGAAGUAUAUUCAGGAGGUAGGUUUGAUCUCUCAUUACCUCUAAAGCUCUAGAUAAGGACUCACAAUCCCAGUAACACCACUCUUCCUUUAAAUAUACCAACCUAUAAAAUAAAACUGCCUUUUCUCCAUAAA